AGUGAACGCUGGCGGUAGGCCUAACACAUGCAAGUCGAACGGCAGCACAGAGGAGCUUGCUCCUUGGGUGACGAGUGGCGGACGGGUGAGGAAUACAUCGGAAUCUACUCUGUCGUGGGGGAUAACGUAGGGAAACUUACGCUAAUACCGCAUACGACCUACGGGUGAAAGCAGGGGAUCUUCGGACCUUGCGCGAUUGAAUGAGCCGAUGUCGGAUUGGCUAGUUGGCGGGGUAAAGGCCCACCAAGGCGACGAUCCGUAGCUGGUCUGAGAGGAUGAUCAGCCACACUGGAACUGAGACACGGUCCAGACUACUACGGGAGGCAGCAGUGGGGAAUAUUGGACAAUGGGCGCAAGCCUGAUCCAGCCAUACCGCGUGGGUGAAGAAGGCCUUCGGGUUGUAAAGCCCUUUUGUUGGGAAAGAAAUCCAUCUGGUUAAUACCCGGGUGGGAUGACGGUACCCAAAGAAUAAGCACCGGCUAACUUCGUGCCAGCCGCCGCGGUAA
Molecule: ribosomal RNA, 506 nt
Filed under: uncultured bacterium
Lineage: Bacteria
Description: partial 16S ribosomal RNA
Rfam family: Bacterial small subunit ribosomal RNA
Source: RNAcentral